Molecule: ribosomal RNA, 512 nt
Filed under: uncultured bacterium
Lineage: Bacteria
Description: partial 16S ribosomal RNA
Rfam family: Bacterial small subunit ribosomal RNA
Source: RNAcentral
GACGAACGCUGGCGGCGUGCCUAAUACAUGCAAGUCGAGCGGACAGAAGGGAGCUUGCUCCCGGAAGUCAGCGGCGGACGGGUGAGUAACACGUGGGCAACCUGCCUGUAAGACUGGGAUAACUUCGGGAAACCGGAGCUAAUACCGGAUAGGUUCCUCAUCCGCAUGGGGGAAGAUGGAAAGACGGUUUCGGCUGUCACUUACAGAUGGGCCCGCGGCGCAUUAGCUAGUUGGUGGGGUAAUGGCCCACCAAGGCGACGAUGCGUAGCCGACCUGAGAGGGUGAUCGGCCACACUGGGACUGAGACACGGUCCAGACUCCUACGGGAGGCAGCAGUAGGGAAUCUUCCGCAAUGGACGAAAGUCUGACGGAGCAACGCCGCGUGAGCGAAGAAGGCCUUCGGGUCGUAAAGCUCUGUUGUUAGGGAAGAACAAGUGCCAGAGUAACUGCUGGCACCUUGACGGUACCUGACCAGAAAGCCACGGCUAACUACGUGCCAGCCGCCGCUGUAA